Molecule: ribosomal RNA, 284 nt
Filed under: unidentified marine bacterioplankton
Lineage: Bacteria
Description: partial 16S ribosomal RNA
Rfam family: Bacterial small subunit ribosomal RNA
Source: RNAcentral
CGGUGCGACGAACCAGAGCUUGCUCUGGGGCAAAGCCGCGAACGGGUGAGUAACACGUGGGUAAUCUACCCCGAUGACCGGGACAACCCGAGGAAACUUGGGCUAAUACCGGAUGUGGUGUACUGGCAUAAGCCGGCCCACUAAAGGUAGCCUCGGCUUCCGCAUUGGGAGGGGCCCGCGGCCCAUUAGCUUGUUGGUGGGGUCAAGGCCUACCAAGGCGACGAUGGGUAGCUGGUCUGAGAGGACGAUCAGCCACACUGGGACUGAGACACGGCCCAGACUCC